This 585-nucleotide ribosomal RNA is filed under the name uncultured Gammaproteobacteria bacterium. Its description in RNAcentral is "partial 16S ribosomal RNA". It matches the Rfam family "Bacterial small subunit ribosomal RNA", at positions 1 to 604 of the family's 1533-position model. The record is from RNAcentral. Lineage: Bacteria; Pseudomonadati; Pseudomonadota; Gammaproteobacteria.
GCGGCCGCGGGAAUUCGAUUAGAGUUUGAUCAUGGCUCAGAUUGAACGCUGGCGGCAGGCCUAACACAUGCAAGUCGAGCGGCAGCGGGGGGAAGCUUGCUUCCCCGCCGGCGAGCGGCGGACGGGUGAGUAAUGUCUGGGGAUCUGCCCGAUGGAGGGGGAUAACCACUGGAAACGGUGGCUAAUACCGCAUAACCUCUUUGGAGUAAAGUGGGGGACCUUCGGGCCUCACGCCAUCGGAUGAACCCAGAUGGGAUUAGCUAGUAGGUGGGGUAAUGGCUCACCUAGGCGACGAUCCCUAGCUGGUCUGAGAGGAUGACCAGCCACACUGGGACUGAGACACGGCCCAGACUCCUACGGGAGGCAGCAGUGGGGAAUAUUGCACAAUGGGCGCAAGCCUGAUGCAGCCAUGCCGCGUGUAUGAAGAAGGCCUUCGGGUUGUAAAGCUCUUUUACCCGGGAUGAUAAUGACAGUACCGGGAGAAUAAGCUCCGGCUAACUCCGUGCCAGCAGCCGCGGUAAUACGAAUCACUAGUGAAUUCGCGGCCGCCUGCAGGUCGACCAUAUGGGAGAGCUCCCAACGCGU